Danio rerio (zebrafish) is the source of this 118-nucleotide ribosomal RNA. Lineage: Eukaryota; Metazoa; Chordata; Actinopteri; Cypriniformes; Danionidae. The record is from Ensembl.
UGCCACAGCCAUAUCACCUUGCAGCUCAAGACUGGUUACUCACUGAUGCUGAAGCAGGGCUGAACCUGGUCAAUACCUGGAUGAGCGACCACAUGGGAAUACUAGGUUGCUGAUGAAA